This 414-nucleotide long non-coding RNA is filed under the name Vulpes vulpes (red fox). RNAcentral's name for it is "lncRNA (ENSVVUG00000030262.1)". The record is from RNAcentral. Lineage: Eukaryota; Metazoa; Chordata; Mammalia; Carnivora; Canidae.
GGGAAUCGAGAAAGACCUGAAUUCAGUCCUCUUCUGUCUGGAGAGAGGAGGGGAAUUCCUGCCGGGCCUUAUCUAUCAAGAACUAAGUCUCCCGCCCUCGCCCUCGCCAUUCCUUUCACUUCGCUCUUACGGAGCCUUAAUGGGCCACUUAAGGGAGAUUAGCCUGGAAGUGGAAGGUCUGUCCUAAUAACUAGGGAAGGGAAGACUCCUGUUGCCAUGACAUCCCGGAGGGCUCCUUCCUCCCGUGUUCCUCAUCCCCCUUCCCCUCCUCUCCGGAUGCAACCAGUCCUGAAAUCCCCGCUUUUCUCCCUGAACUCAAGGUAUAGGCAAAGGCAGCUCAAGCAUCUCAUCCGACGUGAGUUCAAGUACAGAUCACACGCCGACCCAAGCCCAGAAGAAUGUGGCUACCAGUGA